Molecule: ribosomal RNA, 597 nt
Filed under: uncultured marine bacterium
Lineage: Bacteria
Description: bacterial SSU rRNA
Rfam family: Bacterial small subunit ribosomal RNA
Source: RNAcentral
AGAGUUUGAUCAUGGCUCAGAUUGAACGCUGGCGGUAGGCUUAACACAUGCAAGUCGAGCGGUAACAGACAUUUUGAUUUUGCUUGCAAAAUCUCGUGCUGACGAGCGGCGAACGGGUGAGUAACGCGUAGGAAUCUACCUAGUAGAAGGGGAUAGCCCGAGGAAACUCGGAUUAAUACCGUAUACGUCCUUAGGGAGAAAGAGGGCUUAGCUUUGAUGCUCUCGCUAUUAGAUGAGCCUGCGUAAGAUUAGCUUGUUGGUGAGGUAAAGGCUCACCAAGGCGACGAUCUUUAGCUGGUCUGAGAGGACGAUCAGCCACAUUGGGACUGAGACACGGCCCAGACUCCUACGGGAGGCAGCAGUGGGGAAUAUUGGACAAUGGGCGCAAGCCUGAUCCAGCCAUACCGCGUGUGUGAAGAAGGCCUUCGGGUUGUAAAGCACUUUAAGUAAGGAAGAAAAGAGUAUUGUUAAUACCAAUACUCCGUGACAUUACUUACAGAAUAAGGACCGGCUANUUCCGUGCCAGCAGCCGCGGUAAUACNGAANGUCCAAGCGUUAAUCGGAAUUACUGGGCGUAAGCGCGCGUAGGUGGUUUAU